CUCCCGGCAGCGUUCACCUCGGUACCGUUCACGCUCUCGGCACCGGUCAGGCUCCCGGCGCCGGUCGACGUCCAGAGCGUCAACCCGGUACUCCCGGCACCGCUCUAGCUCACGGCACCACGGUGGGCGCCGCACCUCCAGGAGCAGAUCUAGACAAAGACACUUGAGAUCCCAGUCGACCUCCCGGCACCGAGCCGGUCGCAGGUCCCGGUCUCGCUCCCAACACCGGUCACCACUAUCUAGAGGUGUGAGGUCUGUCGGUACCUCGGCACCGACUUUCGCCGCUCCACCGUGGCCAUCUAGAGGCACGUCGGCAUCCUCCCAGGCGGGUAGCUAUUAUGAACGGGACCAGGACCCCAAAGUACCGCUGGGAGUGUUCCAAGACCCCCACCUGCAGGACGCAGGUGCCCAACAGUGGGGUUUUUGGACACCCUGGGCUUACCAUCAGGCCCAGGGUGCCCUCGUGCCUCAGACAUGUUCUACCGCCUCAGAACAUCGGGUGCCGGAGGCCACCGUUUCCCGCCCCCCCGUGGUUGAGUCGGACAAACAGCCGCCUCCGGACUCCCUGGGUCAACACGAGCAGGAACCAGGCCAAGAACAAGAGACCACGCAGGAUACCCUCAUCCCCGGAGUAUCCUCCUCCUCCUCCUCCUCACCGGAUGAGGCAGUGGCUGGGUUGUCAGCGUCGGGACCCCCACCUAUAGACCUCAGGGCCCACCAGGACCUCCUCCGUAGAGUGGCCCUUAAUAUCAACCUACCGGUGGAGGAGGUCUCAGAGGUUCAGGACCCGGUGGUGAGCAUCCUCUCGGCCGAUGCACCUACCCGGGUACCCCUCCCAUUCAUAAAGACGAUCCAGUCUACCGCCGAUAACCUGUGGCAGUCACCAGCCUCCAUCCCGCCGACAGCUAAGGGAGUGGAAAGGAAGUACAUGGUACCCUCUCGGGAGUACAAGUACCUGUAUGUCCACCCUCCUCCCUCCUCCCUAGUGGUUCAGUCGGUCAACGACAGGGAACGGCAUGGCCAGCAGGCACCGGCUCCCAAAUCCAAGGAGGCUAGGCGGAUGGACCUNCCCAAAUCCAAGGAGGCUAGGCGGAUGGACCUCAUGGGUCGCAAGGUGUACUCAGCUGGAGCCUUGCAACUCCGUGUGGCCAACCAGCAGGCCUUACUGGGGCGUUAUAAUUACAACAUAUGGGCGGAGGUGGGUAAGUUCUCCGAACUGCUACCCCAGGACUCACGCCCGGAAUUUAACGCGUUCCUGGAAGAGGGUAAGAAGGUGGCCAGGACCUCCCUACAGGCCUCCCUCGACGCGGCUGACUCGGCAGCCAGAACCUUUGCUUCCGGAAUAACCAUGAGGCGCAUCUCAUGGCUUCAAGCCUCCACACUACCCCCAGAACUACAAUAUACAGUCCAGGACCUACCCUUUGACGGGAAAGGGUUGUUCUCGGACAAGACGGACUCCAAAUUACAAAAUCUGAAGGACAAUCGAGUCAUCAUACGCUCGCUGGGGAUGCAUACACCUUCCACCCAGCGUAGACCCUUCAGGCCCCAAGCAUGACGCCCAUACUUCCCACCCCGCCAGAGGCAGGACCUCAAUAGACGGCGUGGCCGGGGGGGCCGCAGAUGCCAAUCCAGCUCCCAGGGAGGUCAAAGCCAAGGGCCUUCCAAGUCACAGCCGGACCCCAAGUCCGGUUUUUGAAGGUGCGCCCGGGGACGACAU
This is a long non-coding RNA of Gopherus agassizii (Agassiz's desert tortoise), 1717 nucleotides long. Lineage: Eukaryota; Metazoa; Chordata; Testudines; Testudinidae. The record is from Ensembl.